This is a long non-coding RNA of Papaver somniferum (opium poppy), 2018 nucleotides long. RefSeq lists it as uncharacterized. The transcript is spliced from 4 exons. Lineage: Eukaryota; Viridiplantae; Streptophyta; Magnoliopsida; Ranunculales; Papaveraceae. The record is from RefSeq and is a predicted model, not a curated record.
CAAGUCUGAAACUUAAAUUCUUAAAAUAUUUUUUCAAUCUUGUUAUGAAUCAAUAUACGAAAUAUAUUUGACUGAUGCAAACUGUUCUCGCAUCUUUGAUCUUCCAAACUUACAACGUUUUCGGUCGGACAGAAUUCAAGCUUGGGGUUCAAAGGAACUUUUGCUUCCUCAAAUUCUUUUACAGGUAUAAGAUGAUAAACGGAGGAAAAAAAUCAUAGAAAGAACAUCAUGAAAUUUAGAAACCGGGUGAUGAUGCGGCCUGAACAUAUUGUAUUCAAGGAAGGCAUUGGACGUUAUGGAAUGGUUGCAUGGGAAGGAUGUCAAACAGAGUUCUUACUUAUGAAGGGAGAUUGGAUUCUUGGAUCAUAGAUCUGGAUUUAUUUUCUUCAGGUUUUUGAAAGAAUGAUAAUAGAAGAAGAAACGGUAGAACUGGAUACAGGUUUUUGAAAACAAGGAAACUAUGCAAUUAAAAGUAAUUAAGCGAAUACAAUCUCCAUAUAACAAUGAUUUUUAUCAUUAGUUACUGAAAAGCAUACAAAUUACAAAAUGCAAAGCACACAAAAGAAAAUGAUGAUGAUCGUGAUCGUGAUCGAGCUGCAUAUUGAUCCAACCACCAAGUAGUAAAUGAUCUUAUUAAAAAAAAAAGAAAAAAUUAAAAAGUACGUAGAACAAACACAACCAAAAAUAAUUUUUAACUUCAACAGGCAACUAACAUCAUCAUCCUUGCUCCUUUAAAUUUAAACGGACUCGUGCUUUAGCUGGAGAUUUGUUUGACAUUCAGGACAAGCAAUGGAUAUAACCUCUAUAUGCACAGCCGAUUGGGUUGUCCUAGUUUGGAUAGAUUUGGUCUUUUUAACCAAAAAUGCAGUUGCAGCGCCUUGCAUUUUUCAAUUCAUAGUUAAAGCACGAGUCCUUGAUCCCGGGGGAUGAGAAAGCAGAUCAAGUCGCAUUGAAUGAUAGCAAUAGGGAUUUUUACAUGUUAAAGGAAGAGUUGGAAGCUUCAGUAUGACAGAAAUAGACAAACUGUAACAAUUUUCAUAAAAGGCUGUAAAUAGGACUGAGAUGGUCUAGAGAGCAAAGGACGCUGCGGAUCAGCUGAGGAAAUGGAGAGGGUAAAAGCAGAGAAAAAAGGUUGCACUGGCUUCAUUUCACGAUGCAGAAAGAAAGUAAUCCAGCUAGAUUAGACAAGACUGCAUCUAUGUACAAGGCACUGCCAUUAGGUAAGGUUUUGAACAUGAAAGCCUGAACAAAUCCAGGCUUGAUAUUAUUUAUUCUUUAACUAGCGAGUAUUGUCUGUGAAGACUUGAACAUGACGAAAUCUAGUACAUGUUCAUGAUAUAAAAAUCAUGAACAUAAAGUGACUAGUGACUAGUGUAUGUCAUUUUAAUAUCGCAACACCAGUUACAAGACCUCUAUAUAUCUGACACCGAAAAAAAACAUAAAGUGCAAAUACAAAACCAUCACAACUAACCUACCACUAAAAUUUGACGUUUGUUGAGAUUGGUUUACUAUGCAGAGUAUGGGAAAGUAAUGAAAGGAAAAAAAGAAAAAAAAGUGGCCUUGAAAAACUAAUGCAGCCAUGUUGAAAACAUUAGUAGCCUAAGUUAACAUAACAGCUUCAAAGUUACUUUUCCAAACAAAAUGCCCCAAAAGUAAAAACAGAAACGGUCCUUUUUGGGUAUUUUCCGGAAGAAGGAUACUAACAUGCUUGUCCUGUGACUUCUCUUCUCUCCAGAAACUUGUAGUUUUGCCUUCUGAAAUGUGUGAUUGUUGUUCUUUUUAGGGCUUAUAAAUAGUCGAGCAUUACGAGUUUCACUCAAUGCAGACAACAAAAACAAAUACUUUCAAAGUUGUAAAUGAGAGUUGCAGGGAACUGAACCAAUAUUAAGGGGCAGUCGACUCAAAUAUGGUUCAGUUUCCUCCAACAUCUCACCUCCGACUUUCAUGAAUGAGAAGAAGCAAGAAGGAUAUCAUUGAUGUUGGUAAGCGAAAACAAGAGAGUGUUCAUGAAAUUGCAA